This 2016-nucleotide ribosomal RNA is filed under the name Triticum aestivum (bread wheat). Its description in RNAcentral is "partial small subunit ribosomal RNA". The record is from RNAcentral. Lineage: Eukaryota; Viridiplantae; Streptophyta; Magnoliopsida; Poales; Poaceae.
AUGGCGCACCACAUCGCCAGAGACAUGGCCUACUCCGCCAUAGGUGGUAGCUCCGGCGAGGGUUCGGCUGUUCCCCGGCGGACGACUUCAGCUCCGGCGAGCGCCUUCGAUCUCAGGCGACAAAGUUCUGCUACGCGCAUGUACCGAGAUCCUCCAAUUGUUUUCUCUGAUGCUCCUCCGGCUGGAUCCGCUGCAAAUUGGCAUACCGAAGAUGGGGCGGCAAAUGAGGAGAGUUUUGUUCAGCAACCUUUCACAAGUCAUGGUGGUGGGGAUUCAGGUGGUGUCCUAAACACUCACGGUGGAAUGCAUGAUGCAGAUGAGGAUGAUGAUAUUUCAUCUCAGCCACUUCUGCCCUAUGUUGGCAUGGAAUUUGACUCAAUUGAAGAUGCCCAAAAGUUCUAUAAUGACUACGCAUUUGGAACGGGUUUUGGCUCACGCAUAGCUUCCUCAAAGAACAGCCAGAAGAAAGGUCCACAACAACUUAUCAAGAGGGUCUUCCAAUGUGUGCAUGCUGGCAAACCGGAGACUACAUGUGAGACAAGCAGCCACUCGGAAGGAAUUGCAGCAGGGGGAAGCUCAUCAAGCAAGCAGGCCGGGGUUGAAAUGGAUGUGACAGUCAAGCGUCAGAGGAAUCGGAUUAUGCGUUAUGAUUGCAAAGCUCAUAUGAUUGUUGGCCUCAGGGGCAAUAAGUGGGUUGUUACCUACUUUGUUGCACAGCAUACACACCCUUUGAUGCAGCAUGAGGAGAUUGUGAGGUUCUACCGCUCACACCGCAAAAUUCCAGAAGAAGAUUACCAACUACUGAUGCCAAUGCAUGAUGUAAACUUGUCAACUACAAAUUGCAUGGGAAUGCUUGGAAUGGUCCAUGGCGGAGACCGGAGGAAACUGCCAUAUGUGAAGAGGGAUGUUUCAAAUGCGCGUUCCAAGCUGCGACAAAAUCAGUCAUUUCAGGACAUGGAUAUGACGGUUGCUUACUUUAAGAGGCGUCAAACUGAGAAUGCUCAAUUCUACUACGCAACAGAAGUUGACAAAGAAACAAACGAAGUGACAGCUCUGUUUUGGGUGGAUGGAAGGACAAGAGCAUUGUACCCAAAGUACAAAGAUUGUGUGUUCUUUGACACAACAUUUUGCACAAAUCGGUACAAUCUGCCUUUCGCUCCUAUUGUUGGUGUGAACAACCACUUGCAAACCGUGCUGCUAGGUUGUGCCUUGGUGCCAGAUGAACAAAUAGAAACUUUCAAGUGGGUGUUUCAACAUUGGAUGAUUGCAAUGAAUAAUGAGCACCCGUUGAACCUAAUGACUGACCAGGACAAGGCAAUGGAAACAGCAAUAAAAGAUGUCUUCCCAAACACAGUGCAUAGGUGCUGCAAAUGGCACAUCCAGCGAAAAGCAAGGGAAAAGCUGGGUAGGAUCCUGAGCAUGGAUGAAAAUUUUGAGCAGGUUUUCUAUGGGGUUAUCAAUGAUUCGGAGACGGUGGAUGAGUUCGAGGAGAAUUGGCAGCAUAUGCUGCAUUGCUUUGAAUUGGUUGACAACAGACAUCUAAGCAACAUGUGGCGUAAGCGAGAGACAUGGGCUCCAGCAUACUUCCGAAAGAACUUCUUCCCAUUUACAAGCACUACAGGGCGGUCUGAGGGUCUCAACUCCUACUUCAAGACAUUUGUCAACCCUCAAGACUCUGUCUGGAGAUUUGUACAACAAUAUGAGGUGCUUCAAGAAACAAUGUUGGACCGUGAAGACAAUCAAGCUUUCAUAGGCCACGCAACAACUGCACCACUUUACUCAAGGUACAACUUUGAGCACCAAGCAGUUCACUUCUAUACCCGAAGCGUGUUUCUCAAGUUUCAAAAAGAGGUCAUGGCAUCAACAGGCUUCAUCAUGAACCUGGCCCCUGCUCUUGACAAUGCAAGCGUGAGGUUUGAGCUGCACUCAAAUUACUUUGAGAACCCCCGAAUAUUUUCAGUGAAUGUUGUGUUGGCGAGGAGAAGUUUGAAUGCAGCUGCAACUGUUUUGAGAUGA